RNAcentral lists this long non-coding RNA (323 nucleotides) under Elaeis guineensis (African oil palm). RNAcentral describes it as "long non-coding RNA (EGUI_LNC053390)". The record is from RNAcentral. Lineage: Eukaryota; Viridiplantae; Streptophyta; Magnoliopsida; Arecales; Arecaceae.
CCCCAGGCUCUUUCCAUCAUCUCACCCUUUCAGCUAAUGUACUCGUUAGUUUAAUGUAUCUAUUAAUAUGUUAAUGUUGUUUGUUAUAUUAUUGAAAAAGGGUCCAUAUUUGAUUUUUCCUAAAAUCAUCAGGCCUAAGCCUGAUCAGAAACCCGAAAUGAAUUUUCAGACUAGGCUCGAUUAGGCGUAAUACCCGGCCCUUUUGCAAUGUGACUCGAUACUGUGGUAGAUGGCUAAUUUAAAAAAUUUAAAUAUAUUACAUUGUAUAAAAUCAUAGGCUCGUCUCUUGAUUAAUAUACAUAUUCUAUAAUAUCCAUAUAUUU